AAACUUUCAACAACGGAUCUCUUGGCUCUCGCAUCGAUGAAGAACGCAGACA
This 52-nucleotide ribosomal RNA is filed under the name Tuber rapaeodorum. RNAcentral describes it as "partial 5.8S ribosomal RNA". It matches the Rfam family "5.8S ribosomal RNA", at positions 1 to 51 of the family's 154-position model. From Rfam's summary of the family: 5.8S ribosomal RNA (5.8S rRNA) is a component of the large subunit of the eukaryotic ribosome. It is transcribed by RNA polymerase I as part of the 45S precursor that also contains 18S and 28S rRNA. Functionally, it is thought that 5.8S rRNA may be involved in ribosome translocation. Lineage: Eukaryota; Fungi; Ascomycota; Pezizomycetes; Pezizales; Tuberaceae. The record is from RNAcentral.